RNAcentral lists this ribosomal RNA (467 nucleotides) under uncultured bacterium. RNAcentral's name for it is "partial 16S ribosomal RNA". It matches the Rfam family "Bacterial small subunit ribosomal RNA", at positions 28 to 507 of the family's 1533-position model. The record is from RNAcentral.
GACGAACGCUGGCGGCGUGCUUAACACAUGCAAGUCGAACGGAAGGGCCUGCUUUUGUGGGGUGCUCGAGUGGCGAACGGGUGAGUAACACGUGAGUAACCUGCCCUUGACUUUGGGAUAACUUCAGGAAACUGGGGCUAAUACCGGAUAGGAGCUCCUGCUGCAUGGUGGGGGUUGGAAAGUUUCGGCGGUUGGGGAUGGACUCGCGGCUUAUCAGCUUGUUGGUGGGGUAGUGGCUUACCAAGGCUUUGACGGGUAGCCGGCCUGAGAGGGUGACCGGCCACAUUGGGACUGAGAUACGGCCCAGACUCCUACGGGAGGCAGCAGCGGGGAAUAUUGCACAAUGGGCGGAAGCCUGAUGCAGCAACGCCGCGUGCGGGAUGACGGCCUUCGGGUUGUAAACCGCUUUCGCCUGUGACGAAGCGUGAGUGACGGUAAUGGGUAAAGAAGCACCGGCUAACUACGUG